AUGGACACCGGAGGCACGCCGGAGCUGGAGGAGGACACCGUCGUCCUCCCCGAUUGGGUGGUGCUGGACCGCAAGGGCAACACCCUCUGCUACAACAGCCCAGAAGCUGCUCGUGUCGCUGUCGACAAGAACAAGACCGCCGCUCCGGUCGACAUGGACGGCGGCCCCUCCUGCUACGUGACCUUCACCCUCACGGCUCCUCAAAAAGGGAUCUCGUACCUCAACCUCCACUUGCCGGAGGGACCUCCAAUUGCCUUAGACACCCCGCCCGCCUAUGCCUUCCUCCGGGUAACCGACAACAACCUCGUCCUUUUCGACAUCUCAACCCGCAGAAAAAAUUCAAGGAAAUCGUCCUCUUCGACAUCUCCAACCCGAGCCGGACUUGCUGCCGGGAGCCCCCGGCAGAUCUGUUCGUCUACAAGGCCGGCGGUCCUCGCCCCUCGAGGCAUAGUCCUCACUCUUGUCCCUGAGCCCUUCACAAGGAGAGUUCCAAGCCUCGCAACUUCUUCCUCCAGCUCUGCACAUGACCCUCAGUUACGAACCUCGUCCCCCAGCUAUGAUUAUUUCAAGAUGAAAUCAACAUGCUAG
Molecule: ribosomal RNA, 588 nt
Filed under: Triticum aestivum (bread wheat)
Lineage: Eukaryota; Viridiplantae; Streptophyta; Magnoliopsida; Poales; Poaceae
Description: partial small subunit ribosomal RNA
Source: RNAcentral